Molecule: ribosomal RNA, 557 nt
Filed under: Metarhizium acridum
Lineage: Eukaryota; Fungi; Ascomycota; Sordariomycetes; Hypocreales; Clavicipitaceae
Description: eukaryotic LSU rRNA
Rfam family: 5.8S ribosomal RNA (bases 166-319)
Source: RNAcentral
AGUGAUUGAACCUGCGGAGGGAUCAUUACCGAGUUAUCCAACUCCCAACCCCUGUGAAUUAUACCUUUAAUUGUUGCUUCGGCGGGACUUCGCGCCCGCCGGGGACCCAAACCUUCUGAAUUUUUUAAUAAGUAUCCUCUGAGUGGUUAAAAAAAAAUGAAUCAAAACUUUCAACAACGGAUCUCUUGGUUCUGGCAUCGAUGAAGAACGCAGCGAAAUGCGAUAAGUAAUGUGAAUUGCAGAAUUCAGUGAAUCAUCGAAUCUUUGAACGCACAUUGCGCCCGUCAGUAUUCUGGCGGGCAUGCCUGUUCGAGCGUCAUUACGCCCCUCAAGUCCCCUGCGGACUUGGUGUUGGGGAUCGGCGAGGCUGGUUUUCCAGCACAGCCGUCCCUUAAAUUAAUUGGCGGUCUCGCCGUGGCCCUCCUCUGCGCAGUAGUAAAGCACUCGCAACAGGAGCCCGGCGCGGUCCACUGCCGUAAAACCCCCCAACUUUUUAUAGUUGACCUCGAAUCAGGUAGGACUACCCGCUGAACUUAAGCAUAUCAAUAAGCGGAGGA